This is a non-coding RNA of Trametes versicolor FP-101664 SS1, 99 nucleotides long. Lineage: Eukaryota; Fungi; Basidiomycota; Agaricomycetes; Polyporales; Polyporaceae. The record is from the annotation of a RefSeq genome assembly.
GGUUCGAUGGUGUAGUUGGUUAUCACGUCUGUCUCACAUGAUGAUGACGUAAUGUCACGUGCGCACAGGAGGCCUCCGGUUCGAGCCCGGAUCGAACCA